Dendronephthya gigantea is the source of this 1645-nucleotide long non-coding RNA. RefSeq lists it as uncharacterized. NCBI's taxonomy places the organism in Eukaryota, Metazoa, Cnidaria, Anthozoa, Malacalcyonacea, Nephtheidae. The record is from RefSeq and is a predicted model, not a curated record. The transcript is spliced from 8 exons.
GAUUUUUGAUCUUGAUUCCUUUUUUGAAAAUACCAAGAUGAUGCUGAAAUAAGCAGUGAUUGAUUAAUAUUUUUUGCGCACAUUUUUGCAUCCAGGGUGAUAAAUUGCUUUAUCUUCCAUGCUCUCCUUCUUUGGGAUGUUGUCCAAAAAUUGUUGCAGCUUUGGUUCUUUUGCCAAGUUUUUGAUGCAUUCUGAUGCUUUGCAGAAACCAUUUGCUGGCCCCAGGCUUUCAAUGUCAUCAACAAGAUGUAGCAGGAGAUGUACUUUAGCCUUCUUUUGAAAUUCAGGCACAUGUAUUAUGUAUCUGGUGUUAUACCUCGCUCAACAAUUCCCAGACCAAGAGUUGUUCAAAUGGAAUGAUAUCUUGCAGAACAAAGACAGCAACUUGCAUCCACAAUUUGUAAUCUCUUCCAACAUAUGAGCCAUAGUUUCUUGUGAUGUUUCCCCUGAUUGUGGCUGAAAAUGCACUCAUGUCAAGUGCUUGAAUCUUUGCAUGGAGCUGGUUUUUCAAUUGCUGAGUUCUAGUGUUGGCAACAAGAAUUUUACUGUGGGUAAAUACGGUUUCAAAUUUCUAUGCUUCCCAAGUGAUGUUCGAAUUCUGAUGCCCGUGGAUUGUCCGCUAACACGCAUAAUACAGGUCACAGGCAAUGGAUUUCCCAAGUGCAACAGACGGAACUACGUUAGAUGUGCUAAUAAAGUGAAUGUUUUCGAUUUUUCGAAAUUCGUUUCGUGGAAGGCCCGCCAAACUCAUCGAGAAACUCUCCAACCGAUUCCAUUUCUUCGUUGUGUUUCCGCUUGUUUCGUCGCUAAAGACGAGCAACGGAACUGUGGAAGUCGGAUUUUUUCCACCGGAUUGUAUCCUGUCGACGUGUGGUGCAAGAAUGUCUUUGGCUUCCUGUGAUAAAAAGAUAAUACGUCGUUCCGUUCACAGAGAUCGAUGAGCUUUGAAAGUCUUCGUUUUCCAACCACUUGCGUCCCUGUAUCAAAGGGAAUACAUGUACUGUUCAUUCUGCAGUUCAGUGUACGCGUUAUCUUGCUUCGUGUGCAUGGUAUAAAACAUUUGGACAAAGUUGUACCCAUAGGCGUACGGGAAAGUGAAGCUGGGCUCCCCCUCCUCCUUUUCGGGCAAAACGUGUCUUGUCAUUCAGGCAACGACGUUACAACGGUCUAUUUAGAGGUAUUUCAACAAGUUCAAUUUUUACAGGUUUACUACAAAUAGCGUAGAUUGGAUUUGGUUUCGAUUCUUACGCAUAUCCACAGACUGUAAAUGAUAGCCUUUCAAAGGAAAGUCUGUCACCUGUGGUCUUCUCAGAUCAUAUAAUUUUAUGAUGACGUCACGAAAUCUAUGACGUCAUGUCUUCGGACAAAUUUAGUCCAGCCCCCGUACGUAUGAAAAUCUGCCCGUACGCCUAUGGUUGUACCUAUAAAUCUAACCUGUGGCAUCUCGUUAAUAUACGUGUCCGUCUCUUCUGGAAAUCUCAUAAGCGCACUGGCUCUGGUUGGUAUUGCGAGUUGAAGUUGAACGAUAUCCGAAGGCCGUAACCAGUAAUAUGGAUAGCCGUUGUAAUAAUCCUAGAAAUUGAAAUGUUUACCUGUGUUAAUAAAUGGCCUUAAUUGCACUUUGUACAUUGGCCUUUUUUUAACG